RNAcentral lists this long non-coding RNA (870 nucleotides) under Homo sapiens (human). RNAcentral's name for it is "HSALNT0211067". Lineage: Eukaryota; Metazoa; Chordata; Mammalia; Primates; Hominidae. The record is from RNAcentral.
UGGGAUUACAGGUGUGAGCCACCUCACCUGGCCUAGUUUUUUUUUUUUUUUUUUUUUUUUGAGACAGGAUCUCACUGUCACCCAGGCUGGAAUGCAGUGUUGCAAUCAUGGCUCGCUGCAGCCUCUACCUCCCACCCUCAAGUGAUCCUCCCACCUCAGCCUCCCAAGUACCUGGGACCACAGGUGAGAGCCCCCAUGCCCAGCUAAUUGUUUUAUUUUUUUUUGUAGAGAUGGGGUCUUCCUGUGUUGUUCAGGCCGGUCUUGAAUUCCUGGACUCAAAGCAAUCCUCCCACCUCAGCCUCCCAAACUGUUGGGAUUACAGUCAUGAGCCACCAUGCCCAGCCAAUAUGCAGCCUUGGUUAGACUAUUUGGGCUCUGCUUUCCUGAAAUUUUGUUAAAUAUCUUGUACCAGUUUUGUUUUGCCCAGCUGGAGGUUGUAUCCUAUUCUUAGGUUGGAAUGGCUGAGUGGGGAGAAGGCAUACUCUCAAGUUUAGGAUUAUUUAGUGAAGAAGUUAAGGACAUGUCACCCCAAAAACAUAUGCUGCUUCGGCAUGUUGUUUAUUCUGAGCUGAAGGCACUUGAAAAACAGCAGAGGCAGGAAGAGCUCUCUGAUCUACCCUUUUCUAUAUAAGAACAGGCCAUAAAAUUCCCCAUAAGAAAGGCGCCCUCCCUGUACAAGGAAGAGAAAAACAUCCUUAACACCAGAGACUGGGAAUCAGCACCGAAAUGGAUCUGUAUAAACUUACUAAAGCAACCCUUAUCAUCCAGUAGUUUUAUCUCCCUCCCCGUAUAUUUCCUGGUCACUUCCCCACAAUUUACUGCCCCUAACCCAAACCCCUUUGUCUGGUCAUCACUUCAAAAACUUAGCAU